This 1449-nucleotide ribosomal RNA is filed under the name metagenome. Its description in RNAcentral is "bacterial LSU rRNA". It matches the Rfam family "Bacterial large subunit ribosomal RNA", at positions 1462 to 2925 of the family's 2925-position model. The record is from RNAcentral.
CGAAGCAGUGACACAGAAGGAUAGGACGAGCGCGGUGAUGGUCAACCGCGUAGGCGGCACGAGGCUGGGGAGCAGUUAAGUACACUUCCCAAGAAGGCUGAGUGCUGACAGGACCGAAAAAGAGUAGGGAAGCGUCUGAGUUCACGCUGGCGAGAAAAGCUGCUAAGGAGAGUGUGAGUGCCCGUACCGGAAACCGACGCAGGUGGGCGAGGAGAGAAUCCUGAGACGGACGGGAGAACUCUUGUUAAGGAACUCGGCAAAAUGACCCCGUAACUUCGGGAGAAGGGGUGCCUCGAAAGAGGCCGCAGAGAAUAGUCACAAGCGACUGUUUAGCAAAAACACAGGUAUCUGCGAAAGCGAGAGCUGACGUAUAGGUGCUGACGCCUGCCCGGUGCUGGAAGGUUAAGGGGAAGUGUUAGGGGAAACCCGAAGCAGAGAACCGAAGCCCCAGUAAACGGCGGCCGUAACGAUAACGGUCCUAAGGUAGCGAAAUUCCUUGUCGGGUAAGUUCCGACCCGCACGAAUGGCGUAACGACUUGUGAGCUGUCUCAACAGGAGGCCCGGUGAAAUUGAAGUAUGUGUGAAGAUGCACAUUACCCGCGACUGGACGGAAAGACCCCGUAGAGCUUUACUGUAACCUGACAUUGGAUCUUGAUAACGGAUGCACAGGAUAGGUGGGACGCAGAGAGACGAGGACUUCGGUUUUCGUGGAGCGGCCGUUGGGAUACCACUCUUCUGUUAUUGAGAUUCUAACCUCAAGCCGUAAGCCGGAUGAGAGACAGUGUCAGGCGGACAGUUUGACUGGGGCGGUCGCCUCCGAAAGAGUAACGGAGGCGCCCAAAGGUACCCUCAGAAUGGAUGGAAACCAUUCGAAGAGAGCAAAGUCAGAAGGGUGCUUGACUGCGAGACCAACAAGUCGAGCAGGUACGAAAGUAGGGCUUAGUGAUCCGGCGGUAAGAGAGUGGAAUUGCCGUCGCUCAACGGAUAAAAGCUACCUCGGGGAUAACAGGCUGAUCUCCCCCAAGAGUUCACAUCGACGGGGAGGUUUGGCACCUCGAUGUCGGCUCGUCGCAUCCUGGGGCUGAAGCAGGUCCCAAGGGUUUGGCUGUUCGCCAAUUAAAGCGGCACGCGAGCUGGGUUCAGAACGUCGUGAGACAGUUCGGUCCCUAUCCAUCGUGGGCGAAGGACACAUGAGAGGAGCUGCUCCUAGUACGAGAGGACCGGAGUGGACGCAUCACUGGUGCAACUGUUGUCGUGCCAACGGCACAGCAGGGAAGCGAAAUGCGGAUGGGAUAAACGCUGAAGGCAUCUAAGCGUGAAGCCCACCUCAAGAAUAAGUGUCCCAUUCGAAAGAAGUAAGACCCCUGGAAGACUACCAGGUGAUAGGUCAUCGGUGAAAGAGUGGUAACAUUUGGAGCUUGGUGAUACUAAUCGGUCGAGGACUUGACC